This is a long non-coding RNA of Lolium rigidum, 464 nucleotides long. RefSeq lists it as uncharacterized. Lineage: Eukaryota; Viridiplantae; Streptophyta; Magnoliopsida; Poales; Poaceae. The transcript is spliced from 3 exons. The record is from RefSeq and is a predicted model, not a curated record.
GCUUCUGCAAAUGCUACGUCAACCGACAAAGACAAUCGAGUGCAUAAAAGGGGAGCCUUGUAUCGAUGAAUUUGUUACAGAAGCAAUUAUGCAGUUGCAGACUACUCAGCAGUUGUGCCUGGAGACUGGUGGUUGUUAAAUUUAAAUCUUAACCCCAAAUUUAUCCAAUGAAAAAGAGAAGGGACCAGGGGAUUCCCAACAAGGAUAUUUUAUUGUCCCACCGUAAGGAAAAUGUGGCAUGGACUUCAGAGCAUGAACAACGUCAGGUGUUAUCAGUAUCAAGCUACCAAAGAUGGGAGACACAUCCUUUAUGGGUUUUGAAGUAAGAACUUUUUUUCGAGAAAACGCAAUGACAUUGCGUUUCUUUUCAUUGCAUAGAAGAAGAGAAGAGGCCUCCUAAGAGGGUUAGUGCAGAAUUAAAGAUAUAGGGAUUAGUGCACGUCCCAGGUGGUUGGGAUGAUGUC